RNAcentral lists this unclassified non-coding RNA (728 nucleotides) under Hevea brasiliensis (rubber tree). The record is from RNAcentral. Lineage: Eukaryota; Viridiplantae; Streptophyta; Magnoliopsida; Malpighiales; Euphorbiaceae.
UGGCCACAAGUAUGCUGGUAAUGUGAUAAUCUACGGUACUGAUAAACAAGGGAAAAUUGCUGGGCAUUGGUAUGGCUAUGUUACCCCAGAUGAGGUACCUAUUUUGCUGGACGAGCAUAUCGGAGAGGGAAAAAUCCUUGAACGCCUUUGGAGGGGCCAAAUGGGACUGCAUGCUGAGACAACUGAUAAGGUGAAUGAGCUGAGUGUUCUCAGUGGAACCACUGUGGACAACAAAGGAAAUGCGCCUGUAGAAACUGCUAGUCAUGGCUGUUGUCAAGGUGCUGCAGGAUUUUCUUGUUGUAGAGAUGCGAAUGUUGAGGGAAAAGAGGUAGAGAAGGGACAGGGAAGACUUCCAUCCAGUUUCAGAAAAUGGGAUAAACCUGAAGUUUACACAGCCAUUGGCGUCGUUGGAGCAGUGGCUGUUGUUGCUGUUGCUUAUGGAUUUUACAAGUCACGCUAAAAUGUUGUCAAGAAAGUGCGUGCAUCCAGAGGUUCUUUUAGAGAGUAAUGAUGUAACUCUAGACCAUUACAUUUGCUACGUGUUAGGUGUGAAUUUUUCUGAGGGAGUAAAACGUAAAUGCAGAACGUGUUGACUGUGGAGAUGAGCUCCUCUUGUUUUCUUCAAGUGAGCCACCGUAAAAGGGCCACUUUUAAACAACUGCUACUUACUACAUAUACCUGCAGGUUUAGUUUAUACCCUACAAAGAUGCUUUAAAUGCCAAGUGUGA